Molecule: small nucleolar RNA, 77 nt
Organism: Monodelphis domestica (gray short-tailed opossum)
Lineage: Eukaryota; Metazoa; Chordata; Mammalia; Didelphimorphia; Didelphidae
Rfam family: Small nucleolar RNA SNORD93
About the family: The members of this family belong to the C/D class of snoRNAs which contain the C (UGAUGA) and D (CUGA) box motifs. Most of the members of the box C/D family function in directing site-specific 2'-O-methylation of substrate RNAs.
Source: Rfam
UGGCCAAGGAUGAAAACCACAGUCUGAUUGGGCAUGCUUUCCAUGCUCUGAUGGGUUAAAGGAUUUACCUGAGGCCA